AUGGCCCGUGAUGUGUUGGCUGUUCCGGUAUCAACGGUUGCGUCUGAGUCGGCAUUUAGCACAAGUGGUCGCAUCUUAAAUGAAUUUAGAACCUCCCUUACACCAUUCAUGGUCCAAGCUCUUGUUUGUGCCCAAGACUGGCUAAGGGGUUCUAUUACUAUCAACAUUGAAGAAGAUGAGGAGGAAUUGUUAAGAUUGGAAAAGGAUUGGCUCACUUGGCUGGAACUUGGAAUGGUCAAGAUGCUCAUGUUCAUGAUGGAAAAUUGGGAGUCUUACUGUUGGCUGCUCUUCAACUUCAAGUGCAAAUCUAUUGUCAUUUAUCACUAUCAGUUUGUGUUGUUGAACACUUGA
RNAcentral lists this ribosomal RNA (351 nucleotides) under Triticum aestivum (bread wheat). Its description in RNAcentral is "partial small subunit ribosomal RNA". Lineage: Eukaryota; Viridiplantae; Streptophyta; Magnoliopsida; Poales; Poaceae. The record is from RNAcentral.